GCCUUCGUGGUGUAAUGGUUAACACGCUCCGCUCGUAUCGAGAGGUCCGAGGUUCGAGUCUCGGCCAGGGCA
Molecule: transfer RNA, 72 nt
Filed under: Stegodyphus mimosarum
Lineage: Eukaryota; Metazoa; Arthropoda; Arachnida; Araneae; Eresidae
Rfam family: tRNA
About the family: Transfer RNA (tRNA) molecules are approximately 80 nucleotides in length. Their secondary structure includes four short double-helical elements and three loops (D, anti-codon, and T loops). Further hydrogen bonds mediate the characteristic L-shaped molecular structure. tRNAs have two regions of fundamental functional importance: the anti-codon, which is responsible for specific mRNA codon recognition, and the 3' end, to which the tRNAs corresponding amino acid is attached (by aminoacyl-tRNA synthetases). tRNAs cope with the degeneracy of the genetic code in two manners: having more than one tRNA (with a specific anti-codon) for a particular amino acid; and 'wobble' base-pairing, i.e. permitting non-standard base-pairing at the 3rd anti-codon position.
Source: Rfam by way of RNAcentral